Molecule: ribosomal RNA, 287 nt
Filed under: Paramecium primaurelia
Lineage: Eukaryota; Ciliophora; Oligohymenophorea; Peniculida; Parameciidae
Rfam family: Bacterial large subunit ribosomal RNA
Source: RNAcentral
UUUGAAGUCUAACCAAGCACUAGACGGAUGCCUAAAAAUCUUGGUUGAGGGCGUAAAUAUAAAUACGAGAUUUGUAUGUAAGCUUUUUUUUGAUAUAUAAAAAUGCUUUGGAUGUGCAACAACCCUUAAAAAUUUUAUGAAGCGAAACAUCGUAGUAAUAAAUCUAAAACAUAAAUCAACUGAGAUGUUAAAGUAACGGUGAGUGAAACAAAGUAGCUCAAAAAUUAAAAGAAGGGGCUGAACUACUUGGAAAAGUAGGCUACAGAGGGUGAUAGCCCCGUAAGCUU